Haliotis rubra (blacklip abalone) is the source of this 205-nucleotide long non-coding RNA. RefSeq lists it as uncharacterized. The transcript is spliced from 4 exons. The record is from RefSeq and is a predicted model, not a curated record. NCBI's taxonomy places the organism in Eukaryota, Metazoa, Mollusca, Gastropoda, Lepetellida, Haliotidae.
AUGUCAUUGUACAGUGGAACCCUCUAAACCGGCAUUCAUUGGGACCGACAAAAAAUGCCAGUAUAGAGGGCGUGCGGGUUUAGAUAACUUUUCCCUUUUCAAUCUGAGAAUGAUCUUCCGUGUGCCGUAAACUACGACUGAACAACGUGCUGAUAGUCAUCAUAUUCAUCAAUAAAGAUAACAUCCGGUAAAGCACGGAAAAACA